CGGUAAUGCACGUAAUUUAUGAAAGUUGCCAAUCCAAUAUAAAGCCAAGAGAAGAAAAAGCCUGGAAGGAGGAGAGAUGACUAGAAACGAUUCUGUUGACCGUUUUAUUUGUGGCUUAAUUGGCGAGGUAGAGGAUGUUCUCCAUUUCAGGUGAAGUACUAUGAAGGCACCACUGAUCUCGACAAGAGGCGCAACAUUCGUAGGGGGCAGAAAUUCACUAUUCAGGGCAAUAACAUGUAUCUACGGGGGAAGGAUGGCCAGCCUCACAGGAGUGUGAUUUUUAACUGAGGAGAAGGAGGCCAUGCUGACCGAGAUGCAAGCUGGCCAUUUCAGAGUGAAGCGCAUGAUUGCCAAAAUCAACAUACUCUUCUUUUGGCAUUUGGCAUGGGAUUGUCAAGAAUGUGGACAGCUGGGCAAGUGAAAUAACCUUUUGUUUAUCAAUCACAUUCUAUUAUAUCUGAAAUUAUUAUGAUUUCAUAUCAGAGAGAACAUAAUAUUUCAAUUUGUCACCUUGUGCUUAAUAGUCAGUACCCUGUCUAGUCUCACAGAAGUUUGAGAGGGUGAACACUUUGGCGUAGGAGUUGAAGCCCAUCAGUUGUUUCACCAUUGCACAUGAUCGAUCACUGAAACUCCACCUGAUGUGAUGGAAGUUGUCGAACCAGAUCAGAACGCCUUCAAGGACGACCUUCAGGCACAAGAUUGAACAAGGACAAGGCGCUGGAGAAACAGAAGGAGAGCUACCAGAGGAGAAUCAAGAGAAUCAAGAGCUUCGACAUCCGGGCGAAUGACUUGGUUUGGAAGAAGGAUGAAAGGAAGGCGAGACGUGGGAAACCUUGCUGCUCUUUCGCUCCUAGCUGGGGUCACCAUCCGUUAAGCCGUGACAGAAUACCCCACCACAAAAGGACCAAGCAGCGUGCAAAGGAAUGGACCUGGGAGGAAGUUCUGGACGGCAAGGGAUCCUGGACAUGGGAGGAGAUCCAGGCUGGAUGGGAUCGCCUCCAUUGGGAACAGGUGGAGGCAGCGAGAGCAGAGCGGCGACGAGAGGAGGAACUAGCCCGGCAGGCAACAAGGCAAGCACAAGAGGCAGCCCCCCCCCCCAAAAAAUUGGGGGGCUCAUGGGGAGAUUGGCAGAGUCAGGUUGAAGACCUGAGCCAACUCCCCGUGCUUACUGUGGGGGGCGAGUGAUCGAGCAAGCACCAUGUUAUGCUGAGAUACGCACUGUGUCGCCAGUGCGCAGCUACAGCCCAGUGCGCUCAGUGCAAGCUCCUCACAGGUGCUGUGCUAGAGUUGGCAUUAAGCCAGGAAGGAGUAUGCCUGCUCAGCGUUCCUGGUCUCCGGUGUGUCUUCUCGACCCAGGUUAUCCUGCGCCAGCUCUACGCACGGUACCCCCAGUUCGCCAACACAAACCUGUGCAACCUGUCACAACGCCUCGCGCUUGUCGGGCUAUGGUGGUUAUCCAGUCAGGAUGGGUUGUGCCAGCCAUAAGCUCCAGACCUCCAGUGCGCCUCCACAGGCCAGUAUACCCUGUGCCUGCUCCGCGCACCCGGCCUCCAGCGAUGUUCCCUAGUCCAGAACUCUCAGCGACGUUCUCUAGUCUGGUGAGACCUAUUCCAGCUCCACGAAAGAAGCCUCCAGCGAUGAUCUAUGGUCUGAAGCCUGUAGGGAUGAUCAAUGGCACGAAGCCUCCAGAGAUAAUCCAUGGCCCGGAGUCUGUAGGGAUAAUCCAUGGCAAGAAGCUUGUAGGGAUGAUCCAUGGCACGAAGCCUCCAGUGAUGAUCCGUGGCGCUGAUCCUGCAGCGAGGGUCCCCGGUCAGGAGCCUCCAGCGAGGGUCCCCGGUCAGGAGCCUCCAGCGACGGUCCCCGGUCAGGAGCCUCCAGCGACGCUCCCCGGUCAGGUGCCUCCAGAACCUCCAGCAAUGAUCUACAGUCCGGUUCUUUCGACGACGAUCCAUG
This is a non-coding RNA of Salmo salar (Atlantic salmon), 1953 nucleotides long. The record is from RefSeq and is a predicted model, not a curated record. Lineage: Eukaryota; Metazoa; Chordata; Actinopteri; Salmoniformes; Salmonidae.